This 849-nucleotide ribosomal RNA is filed under the name uncultured bacterium. Its description in RNAcentral is "bacterial SSU rRNA". It matches the Rfam family "Bacterial small subunit ribosomal RNA", at positions 8 to 817 of the family's 1533-position model. The record is from RNAcentral.
AGAGUUUGAUCAUGGCUCAGAACGAACGUUGGCGGCGUGGAUUAGGCAUGCAAGUCGAGCGAGAUUAACUUGAUUCAAUCUUUCGGGAGAGAAGCUUGUUAUGAGAGCGGCGAACGGGUGAGUAAUAAAUGGGUAAUUUGCCUCUUUGUUCGGGAUAGCCAUCGGAAACGAUGAUUAAUACCGAAUGUGUUCGGGAACUUCAUGGUUCCUUCUAUAAAGGCGGGGAAGCUUCGGCUCCUGUCGCAAAGAGAUAAGCCCAUUUCCUAUCAGCUUGUUGGUGAGGUAAUGGCUCACCAAGGCUUACGGGUAGCUGGUCUGAGAGGAUGGUCAGCCACACUGGGACUGAGACACUGCCCAGACUCCUACGGGAGGCUGCAGUCGAGAAUCAUUGUCAAUGCACGAAAGUGUGAACAUGCGACGCCGCGUGGAGGAAGACGGCCUUUGGGUUGUAAACUCCUGUCAGCAGGGAGUAAAAAUAGAUCACUUAAUACGUGUUUUAUUUGAUAGUACCUGCAGAGGAAGUCACGGCUAACUCUGUGCCAGCAGCCGCGGUAAUACAGAGGUGGCGAACGUUGUUCGGAUUUACUGGGCGUAAAGGGUCCGCAGGCGGUCUUGUGUGUCAGAUGUGAAAGCCCACGGCUUAACCGUGGAAUUGCAUUUGAAACUGCAAGACUAGAGUACUGGAGGGGAGAAGGGAACACUUGGUGUAGCGGUGAAAUGCGUAGAUAUCAAGUGGAACACCGGCGGCGAAGGCGCUUCUCUGGACAGAUACUGACGCUCAUGGACGAAAGUUAGGGUAGCGAAAGGGAUUAGAUACCCCUGUAGUCCUAACCGUAAACGGUGUGCACU